Molecule: ribosomal RNA, 868 nt
Filed under: uncultured archaeon
Lineage: Archaea
Description: bacterial SSU rRNA
Rfam family: Archaeal small subunit ribosomal RNA
Source: RNAcentral
CUCCGGUUGAUCCUGCCGGACCCGACUGCUAUCAGAGUGGGACUAAGCCAUGCGAGUCGACGUAGCAAUGCGUGGCGAACGGCUCAGUAACACGUAGUCAACAUGCCCAGGGGACGUGGAUAACCUCGGGAAACUGAGAAUAAACCACGAUAGGUCACGAUUUCUGGAAUGGAUCAUGGCCUAAAUCUACAUGGCCCCUGGAUUGGACUGCGGCCGAUCAGGCUGUUGGUGAGGUAAUGGCCCACCAAACCUAUAACCGGUACGGGCUCUGAGAGGAGAAGCCCGGAGAUGGGCACUGAGACAAGGGCCCAGGCCCUAUGGGGCGCAGCAGGCGCGAAACCUCUGCAAUAGGCGAAAGCCCGACAGGGUUACUCUGAGUGAUUUCCGCUAAGGGGAUCUUUUGGCACCUCUAAAAAUGGUGCAGAAUAAGGGGUGGGCAAGUCUGGUGUCAGCCGCCGCGGUAAUACCAGCACCCCGAGUGGUCGGGACGAUUAUUGGGCCUAAAGCAUCCGUAGCCGGUUCUACAAGUCUUCCGUUAAAUCCAGCCGCUCAACGGAUGGGCCGCGGAGGAUACUACAGGACUAGGAGGCGGGAGAGGCAAGCGGUACUCAGUGGGUAGGGGUAAAAUCCUUUGAUCCAUUGAAGACCACCAGUGGCGAAGGCGGCUUGCCAGAACGCGCUCGACGGUGAGGGAUGAAAGCUGGGGGAGCAAACCGGAUUAGAUACCCGGGUAGUCCCAGCUGUAAACGAUGCAGACUCGGUGAUGGGCUAGCCUUGUGCCAGCCCAGUGCCGCAGGGAAGCCGUUAAGUCUGCCGCCUGGGGAGUACGGUCGCAAGACUGAAACUUAAAGGAAUUGGCGGGGGAGCA